GUCCACGCCCUAAACGAUGUCUACUAGUUGUUGGUGGAGUAAAAUCAAUUAGUAACGCAGCUAACGCGUGAAGUAGACCGCCUGGGGAGUACGGCCGCAAGGUUAAAACUCAAAGGAAUUGACGGGGGCCCGCACAAGCGGUGGAUUAUGUGGAUUAAUUCGAUGCAACGCGAAAAACCUUACCUGGCCUUGACAUGCUACUAACGAAGCAGAGAUGCAUCAGGUGCCCGAAAGGGAAAGUAGACACAGGUGCUGCAUGGCUGUCGU
This 267-nucleotide ribosomal RNA is filed under the name uncultured bacterium. Its description in RNAcentral is "partial 16S ribosomal RNA". It matches the Rfam family "Bacterial small subunit ribosomal RNA", at positions 793 to 1055 of the family's 1533-position model. The record is from RNAcentral.